GGCAGUUCUUGGGUGACGCACCUCAGAAUCAGGCUCCCUCCUCUCUGGUUCUGGGUGUGUCACCUGAGAACCACA
Molecule: non-coding RNA, 75 nt
Organism: Myotis brandtii (Brandt's bat)
Lineage: Eukaryota; Metazoa; Chordata; Mammalia; Chiroptera; Vespertilionidae
Source: Rfam